UAAAUGGACGCCAUGCAGUGAACAGUUAAAAAACAAACAAAAUCAGGUCACAUCUGUUUUACUGUGAAUUGGUUCAGUCACACAUCACAAUGAACAAAGUCAAUUCAGGCCAACAAAAUACCUGAGAAGAGGAAACUAUUACUCCAUGUUGAAGCUGACACCCAUUGAUUUAUAUAGCUUGACUGUAGAUUGACUAUAGCAUCCAUUGAUUAUAGCUUGACUAUAGAUUGACUAUAGCAUCUAUUGAUUA
This is a long non-coding RNA of Xiphophorus couchianus (Monterrey platyfish), 250 nucleotides long. RefSeq lists it as uncharacterized. The transcript has 3 exons. The record is from RefSeq and is a predicted model, not a curated record. NCBI's taxonomy places the organism in Eukaryota, Metazoa, Chordata, Actinopteri, Cyprinodontiformes, Poeciliidae.